UACGUAGGGCGCAAGCGUUGUCCGGAUUUAUUGGGCGUAAAGAGCGCGCAGGCGGUUCGUUAAGUCCGAGGGGAAAUCUCCCGGCUCAACUGGGAUAGGUCUUCGGAUACUGGCGGACUUGAGGAGAGCAGAGGUGAGUGGAAUUCUCGGUGUAGUGGUGAAAUGCGUAGAUAUCGAGAGGAACACCAGUGGCGAAGGCGGCUCACUGGGCUCCACCUGACGCUGAGGCGCGAAAGCGUGGGGAGCGAACCGG
Molecule: ribosomal RNA, 253 nt
Filed under: uncultured bacterium
Lineage: Bacteria
Description: partial 16S ribosomal RNA
Rfam family: Bacterial small subunit ribosomal RNA
Source: RNAcentral